AUUAUUAUUUAGCAUCAGAUAAUAUUACUUAAUAUUACGAAGGCGGUUCUCCCUGGGCGAGGCUCACCAUUGCACUCCGGUGGCGCUGACCCCUGCGAUUAACCCAAAUGUGGUUAACUCGAGUGCGCAGUUUUUGGUAGCGGGGGACUGCGUUCGCGCUAUCACCCU
Small nuclear RNA from Penaeus indicus, 168 nucleotides. RefSeq annotates it as U1 spliceosomal RNA. The record is from RefSeq and is a predicted model, not a curated record. The transcript has a single exon. NCBI's taxonomy places the organism in Eukaryota, Metazoa, Arthropoda, Malacostraca, Decapoda, Penaeidae.